AGAAGAUCAGGAGUGUGCUGGCCUCUAGGGGCAUGUGCACGCUUCACUAGUCUUUCAACCACCUGGUGAACUUUUGAUAGAUCUGUGAAGUCGUCUCUCAAGUCGUCAGACUUGGUUGCUGGGAUUUAAACGUCUCGGUGUGACUACGCAGAUCUAUUUACUUACACACCCCAAAUGUAUGUCUACGAAUGUCAUUUAAUGGGCCUUGUGCCUUUAAACCAUAAUACAACUUUCAACAACGGAUCUCUUGGCUCUCGCAUCGAUGAAGAACGCAGCGAAAUGCGAUAAGUAAUGUGAAUUGCAGAAUUCAGUGAAUCAUCGAAUCUUUGAACGCACCUUGCGCCCCUUGGUAUUCCGAGGGGCAUGCCUGUUUGAGUGUCAUUAAAUUCUCAAACUCACUUUGGUUUCUUUCCAAUUGUGAUGUUUGGAUUGUUGGGGGCUGCUGGCCUUGACAGGUCGGCUCCUCUUAAAUGCAUUAGCAGGACUUCUCAUUGCCUCUGCGCAUGAUGUGAUAAUUAUCACUCAUCAAUAGCACGCAUGAAUAGAGUCCAGCUCUCUAAUCCGUCCGCAAGGACAAAUUUGACAAUUUGACCUCAAAUCAGGUAGGGACUACCCGCUGAACUUAAGCCAUACCAAUAGGCGGAGGAA
RNAcentral lists this ribosomal RNA (648 nucleotides) under Pleurotus ostreatus (oyster mushroom). Its description in RNAcentral is "eukaryotic LSU rRNA". The stretch from base 228 to 381 matches the Rfam family "5.8S ribosomal RNA". The record is from RNAcentral. Lineage: Eukaryota; Fungi; Basidiomycota; Agaricomycetes; Agaricales; Pleurotaceae.